GAUGAAGAACGUAGCGAAAUGCGAUAAGUAAUGUGAAUUGCAGAUUUCAGUGAAUCAUCGAAUCUUUGAACGCACCUUGCGCCUUGUGGUAUUCCACAAGGCAUGCCCGUUUGAGUAUCAUUAAAUCAUCAACUCUAAAACCUUUGUGGUUUUUUUAGAGCUUGGUCUUGAGGGUUUUGCAGGCUUUUUUUUUUUUCGAGUCUGCUCCCUUUAAAUGCAUUAGCGAGACUUCCCUAUGCUGAACCGUCUCUUUGACGUGAUAAUUAUCUGCGUCGAAUUUUGGUUCUCGUUGGGCUUGCUUCUAAUCGUCUGUUAAAGACAAAACGGAUUUGGGUGCAUAUAUGCGCCUUUUUCCAAAACCUUUUUUGAUCUCAAAUCGGGUAGGACUACCCGCUGAACUUAAGCAUAUCAAUAAGCGGAGGA
RNAcentral lists this unclassified non-coding RNA (423 nucleotides) under soil metagenome. RNAcentral describes it as "partial contains 5.8S ribosomal RNA, internal transcribed spacer 2, and large subunit ribosomal RNA". The stretch from base 1 to 120 matches the Rfam family "5.8S ribosomal RNA", at positions 35 to 154 of the family's 154-position model. The record is from RNAcentral.